Molecule: ribosomal RNA, 421 nt
Filed under: uncultured bacterium
Lineage: Bacteria
Description: bacterial SSU rRNA
Rfam family: Bacterial small subunit ribosomal RNA
Source: RNAcentral
UGGGGAAUAUUGCACAAUGGGGGAAACCCUGAUGCAGCAACGCCGCGUGAGUGAUGAAGGUCUUCGGAUCGUAAAGCUCUGUCUUCAGGGACGAUAAUGACGGUACCUGAGGAGGAAGCCACGGCUAACUACGUGCCAGCAGCCGCGGUAAUACGUAGGUGGCGAGCGUUGUCCGGAUUUACUGGGCGUAAAGGGAGCGUAGGCGGACUUUUAAGUGAGAUGUGAAAUACCCGGGCUCAACUUGGGUGCUGCAUUUCAAACUGGAAGUCUAGAGUGCAGGAGAGGAAAGCGGAAUUCCUAGUGUAGCGGUGAAAUGCGUAGAGAUUAGGAAGAACACCAGUGGCGAAGGCGGCUUUCUGGACUGUAACUGACGCUGAGGCUCGAAAGCGUGGGGAGCAAACAGGAUUAGAUACCCCAGUAG